AGGGAGAUGAGCCUGCAAGACGUUCAGCACGUUUGUCAUCUAGACCUGCGCCAAAGCCGGCUGCCAAACCCAAAAAAGCGGCAGCACCCAAAAAGCCAGUCAAAGGAAAGAAGGCAGCUGAGAACGGUGAUGCCAAGGCUGAGGUCUGAAAUAAGUCCAUUUCCCUCCCAUUUCUAGGCGAAGGUUGAAGCCGCUGGAGAUGCCAAAUGAAGAACUGUUUGAAGUUGUGAUCAUUCUGUGUACUUGGUGACUGUACAGUUUAAAAUAAGUAUUUUUUACCAAGUUUUUUUAUAUUAAAAGAUAUCAUUUAUAGUUCAUUGUGGGCUUACAUUUGACGUAAUGAAGCUGUUCCAAGGGGUUGUCACGUUCAUAUCCAUUUUUUUAUGCCUUGUUUAAAUGAAUACCGUCCAUAUCCAGUCAAAGUUUUAAAAACCACACAAAAAAACUUCUAACCCUGUUUUAUUUUUUUACUGCUGAAUGUUAUUUUCCAACAUAAAUCUAAACAUUAAAGGCAGCUAAAGUGUGUUUCUAAAAUGUUUAAGAGGAAUAGGGUUUUUGCCACUCCUUUUAGUUUUUUAUUGUACAAGUAAUAUGAAUUAAUUACAUACCAAAUGUUUUGAAUCAACAUCAGAUCUUCUCAUUCAGGAGACAAAAGACACCGUUUGAAAGUAAUCACUAACUUGUAUUAGGUCAACACACAAAAUUAAUAAUGUGAACUUAAUCAUUUGUUCUAUUGUUUAUUUUUAUUAAAUUGUUCUGUAAAAACAGUGGAAAGAGCUAUUGUGACGCCUAUGAAAUUUUAAAUGUUCUUGAAUAAAAUGAUAAAAAGGC
Oncorhynchus gorbuscha (pink salmon) is the source of this 831-nucleotide long non-coding RNA. RefSeq lists it as uncharacterized. The record is from RefSeq and is a predicted model, not a curated record. Lineage: Eukaryota; Metazoa; Chordata; Actinopteri; Salmoniformes; Salmonidae. The transcript is spliced from 5 exons.